AGAGUUUGAUCCUGGCUCAGAACGAACGCUGGCGGCAUGCUUAACACAUGCAAGUCGAACGAGGUCAGGGGCUUGCUCCUGGCCUAGUGGCGAACGGGUGAGUAACGCGUGGGAACCUGCCUUGGAGUGGGGGAUAACCACUGGAAACGGUGGCUAAUACCGCAUAUGGCCUGAGGGUCAAAGGCUUCGGCCGCUUUGAGAGGGGCCCGCGUCCGAUUAGGUAGUUGGUGGGGUAACGGCCUACCAAGCCUUCGAUCGGGAGCUGGUCUGAGAGGAUGAUCAGCCACACUGGGACUGCGACACGGCCCAGACUCCUACGGGAGGCAGCAGUGGGGAAUAUUGGACAAUGGGCGCAAGCCUGAUCCAGCAAUGCCGCGUGCGUGAUGAAGGCCUUCGGGUUGUAAAGCGCUUUCGCCCACGACGAUGAUGACGGUAGUGGGAGAAGAAGCCCCGGCUAACUCCGUGCCAGCAGCCGCGGUAAUACGGAGGGGGCUAGCGUUGUUCGGAAUUACUGGGCGUAAAGGGUGCGUAGGCGGCUGUUCAAGUCAGACGUGAAAGGCCUGGGCUCAACCUGGGAACUGCGUUUGAGACUGGACGGCUUGAGUCCGGGAGAGGUGAGCGGAAUUCCCAGUGUAGAGGUGAAAUUCGUAGAUAUUGGGAAGAACACCGGGCGAAGGCGGCUCACUGGACCGGUACUGACGCUGAGGCACGAAAGCGUGGGGAGCAAACAGGAUUAGAUACCCUAGUAGUCC
RNAcentral lists this ribosomal RNA (752 nucleotides) under uncultured bacterium. RNAcentral describes it as "bacterial SSU rRNA". It matches the Rfam family "Bacterial small subunit ribosomal RNA", at positions 8 to 796 of the family's 1533-position model. The record is from RNAcentral.